RNAcentral lists this ribosomal RNA (253 nucleotides) under uncultured bacterium. RNAcentral describes it as "partial 16S ribosomal RNA". It matches the Rfam family "Bacterial small subunit ribosomal RNA", at positions 524 to 776 of the family's 1533-position model. The record is from RNAcentral.
UACGUAGGGUGCAAGCGUUAUCCGGAAUUAUUGGGCGUAAAGAGCUCGUAGGCGGUUUGUCGCGUCUGCUGUGAAAACUGGGGGCUCAACCCCCAGCCUGCAGUGGGUACGGGCAGACUAGAGUGCGGUAGGGGAGAUUGGAAUUCCUGGUGUAGCGGUGGAAUGCGCAGAUAUCAGGAGGAACACCGAUGGCGGAGGCAGAUCUCUGGGCCGUAACUGACGCUGAGGAGCGAAAGCAUGGGGAGCGAACAGG